UUCGUGGUGCAAUGUGAUUGUUGUAUGUAUGCUACUUAAGGGGCAACUGUGUAGGGCUAUAGUAGGAUUCACUUUGUUGUAUCCAUUGGAUUGUUAGGUGAUAAAAAGGUGGGCGAUGUUGAAGAUGUUAAUGUUAAGGUGGUGUUUGGUAAGAGUGAAAAGCAUCUAGUUUGAAACAAGUAGAAGAUGAGUUAAACAUACUGAGAAUAUAAAAAGUGAUAUUCCGACUACAAUGGACUUUUCUGCUAAGGUGUUGCUCUUUCAGAAUGUCGUAGUGCAGUUAGAUUUGUCUAUCUUUCUUCUGUCUAGCUUGCUGCAUGCCUUUAGACAAAUAUUCCUUUAUUCUGGUUAUGUGAAGUUGAAAGAUGAAGUGAUUAUUAGCGGUCCUAUUCUUACUGAGGCUUAGCAGGAAGCAUAUCUGCUGAGUUUGCUAAAAUUGCUUAGAAUUGCAGGAGCAAACUGAACGAAGAAAAAGAAAUUAGGUAGGCUGUCAAUAUCUGUCCGAGAAUAUUCCUUGUUGAUACUAAUA
RNAcentral lists this long non-coding RNA (529 nucleotides) under Phoenix dactylifera (date palm). RNAcentral describes it as "long non-coding RNA (PDAC_LNC022455)". The record is from RNAcentral. Lineage: Eukaryota; Viridiplantae; Streptophyta; Magnoliopsida; Arecales; Arecaceae.